GAUUUUUCAUGCUAAAAAUAUACGAUUUAUUAAAAAACCGAAUGCACAUCUCAUAUGCAGAAUGUCACAUCUCUAAUAACCAAUAAAAAAGUAGAAGAUGUACGGUUUGUUUACGAAUUUGAAUACAUUACACAAAAUUUUAAAUCAUUUUUUUUAAUACUUAGACGCAAUUCUGGCAGAAAAAAUCACUUGGAGGUGUUCCAAUCAAGGUUGUUCUGAACAUAAUAUUAUAAUACUUUCAAACAUAUACCAGGACAAAGCUACCACCAGCUGCAUCAUUGAAGAUGUCAAUAUUAAGUCAUCCAUAUCAGUUGCCUGUGGCUCAGCAUCUACUUCUGCAGUAACCACUCAACAGAAUAUUAAGCACAACAUGAAAAUAUCCUCAAAAAGGCAUUCAGAAUAUGCUGCUAUAAUGCUGGACCAUGGUUAAUGCAAGAAAAGAUCUUCAAAAGCUUCGGAAAGAACGGCGUCCUCCAAAUUGACAGUAAAUAGGUAUAGCGUUUACCAAAAACAAAUUACACUAGUAAUAAAAAAACACUACUUUUGAAAAAGUAGUUAGAGUAGUAUGACAUCACAAGCCAAAUUGUUUACUGUCAUGCAGAUGCAAACGGCGAAAAAACAAAAGGCUCGUCGUUUUUGUUUGAAAGAAAAAGUAUUGUCCUUGUCUUUGUGUGUUAUGCCCAAGUGUUAUGCCUUGAUGGCAAAAUAUUUUACAUUACCAUCAGCAAAAUGUUUAAAAAGAUUAAUUUCUGAAAUAAAAGUAAAGCCAGGCAUCAAUAAAGUCAUUAUGAAAAAUUGAAAAAAGUUAAGCGAAGAUAAACUGUGCACGUUAAUCUUUGACGAGAUGUCACUUACGCCGCAAGUGCAUUACAAUGCAGCAACCGACAAAUUAAAAGGAUUCACAACUCACGACAAACAAGUAUUUGCAAGCUAUGCAUUGGUUUUCAUGGUGAAGGGCAUUAAAAAAGGUACGAACAACCUGUCGCUUUUUAUUUCACCAGUAACCUGAACAAAAAUGAAUUGAAAGUAAUAAUACAGGAAGUUAUCAAAAUGUGCAAGCAACUGGCUUGACUGUUUUAUGUCAGUACAUAUGUGUGACCAGAGCACAUUAAAUGUGAGUGUCAUUAAUGAGCUCAUGGCCGAUACAAGAGUAAAUUAUCUUAGAAAAGGAAAGGAGACCAAAGGUAACUUCUUUGAAGUGAACAAACGAAAAAUUAUUCCCAUUCAUGAUGUUCCACAUUUAUUAAAAGGG
Pieris brassicae (large cabbage white) is the source of this 1252-nucleotide long non-coding RNA. RefSeq lists it as uncharacterized. The record is from RefSeq and is a predicted model, not a curated record. The transcript is spliced from 4 exons. Lineage: Eukaryota; Metazoa; Arthropoda; Insecta; Lepidoptera; Pieridae.